GUAAUAUACCGAACUUCUAAUUCAUGAAGUUAUGAUGUAUGUUAGCUUAGAAAGCCAUUGGAAUCAUUCCGGCGAAGUUCGGAAGCAUUCGGGUGCUUCGGUGCGCAUAGGGCGCGAAAACGGGACCCGAAAGGCUAUGUUGGACCAUGGACUAAAUCCGGCAUUAGCGUGGAUGAAAAGAUGAUGAAAACAUGUUUGAAAACAUGUUUGGAGAGUCUCGGUUCGAUUUGAAAAGAAACGGAGGUCAAACGAGCGAAAACGAGCGAAAACGGAGUGAAAAAGGAUAAAGGCUGAAAAUGCUGAAAAAUUGGCUAAGUCUGGAAUUCUGGCCUUUCGGGGACCGGUCUCUCACCGCAAGGACCGGUCUCAGAACCCCGAAAAUGCCCAGUUUGGGCUGAAGCAAGAAGAGGAUUGUUGAGGGACUUGUUGGCAUUUUGUGCAUGAGUUGAGUGUAUAGAGAGGAUUAGAACCUCUCUUUCUCUCUUUCCCUUAUCAUUUCACCCCCAAAACUCUCCCUCUCUCUCUCUAGAAAGGAAAGGAGAAGAGAAGAAGAAGAAGAGAAAGAAGAAGAAGAAAAGGAAAAGAAGGUGAAGCAAGUGGAGAGCUUCCCUCCAUCAUCUUCUUCUUCACCUUGGAGCAAGCUUCUUGAGGUAAGCUUCUUGGAGCUUUAAUGGUAGAUCUUUAGGGUUAAGUUCUUAUACUCUAAAGAUGAUUUUAAUGGAAUCUUAGCAUGCUAAAUAGAUGGUUUAUGCUUGAUUCAUGAGAUGAAAUGGGGCAUUUUGCAAUAGUUGCAUAUUAGGGCUCCAAAAGGGGGUUUUUGUAAAUAGUUGAGUUUGAUCUCAAUUGACCCUAUACAAACCUAAUUGGGGGUAUAACGAACGCGUUGGUGCGCUCGGUUCGACAAUCCGACGAGCGUACGCGAAGUUAUUGACGAAACAAUCUGUUUUGGUACAGAUAGCCGCAGCACGCGGGAUAAGCCUCCAAAAAUCAUGAAAAUGGAUCGGGAGCAUCGCGAUGUCGGGGAAUAAACUCCCGAACAGACGGAUCGCGGAUUGGUGGCCGUUCGGGUGGUCGCGCGAGAGUUCGAGCCGAACCGGGUCACGGGUGCCGCGGGAGGCCGAUUGCAAGUGACGACAAGCAAUCGGAAAGCGUUAAAAGGUGGGUUGUGCUUACCGAAGCGACUAGGUCGCCUUCAUGCCAAAGUGUAGUGUGUUUCACUAUUGAUGCAUGAUAAGAAUGUUAAGUAAGAAUGCAUAAUAAGAAUGUUAAGUAAGAAUGCACCAUAAUGAUGCUAAUAAAUGUAUACAAUGCCAUGAUAAAGAUGCUAAGGAAUGAAUGCAUGUGAUAGAUGUUAAGUAAUGCAUGUAAUAUGUGCCAAGUAAUGAUCAUAUAAGAUGUAUGUUGAGAAAUGCAUGUUGUCAUAAUAGGAAAUGCUAAAAGUAUGCAUAUUGACAUAAUGUAAGAACACUAAGCUAAUGCUUGUGACAUGUUAUAGAAAUGUUUGAUGAAGCAUGAGUAAAAUGUUAAAAGCAUGUUGAGAUGUAUGUUAAGUAAACAUAUGAGCUAAAUGUAUGAUCCAUAUUGUGAGAAUAUGUUAAAAUGACAUAAAGUAGAAUGCAUGCAUAAUGAUAAGAUAAGAAUGCUAAGUAAAGGAUGUGUGUAAGUUGACAUAAAUGCACCUAUAGAUCGAGUGGCAUUGGACCUAGUGUCAAGGACAUAGGUUAAACAAAAGUAAUAAUGAACCUAGUGUCGAUGAACAUAGGUUAUUCACGAGUGGCAUGUCAAGUAUAAUUCCUAGGUGUGGACAACUAGGAAAACAAGAACAUGAGUGGCAUUGAACCUAGAGUCAAAUAAACCUAGGUUGUAAAUGUAAUGAUAUAGAACCUAGAGUCAAAUGAACUUAGGUGAUAAAGAAUGUUGGACCUAGUGUCAAUGAACCUAGGCUAAGAAGAUAAUGACAUUGAACCUAAUGUAUUAACUUAGGUUGAGUAAAGGCUUGGACCUAGAUAGGUCGAUAACAUAGGGUGAGACCAACCCUUGAGUAAUGUAAAGUGGAUUCCGGAAUCCCUGCUGCUAGUGCAGCGGCUGCUAGUGCAGCAUACAAGCUCGAUAGUUCUUGGCCGCGGGUGCAUGUGGCGUGUUCCUCUCCCACCGGAAGAACUUCGAGGCUUGUCAAUGAGCAAGAACAAUGAGCGCUAGGGUGCAUGUGGCAUGUUCCUCUCCCUAUCGGGGAUCUCGGCUGCGGGUGUAUGCGGCAUGUUCCUCUCCCACCGGGGGAUCCCUGACCACGGGUGUACGCAGCUCUGGGCGACCCGUUGGGCGAUGUGGUUUGUGAUUGAGGGCUGAGGUGCAUGUGUGAGUUCCUUCACCUCGAGCCGGACAGAGCGCGGACUAUCCGCAGUUGAUUGACUCAAGACCGAGUCGGAUGGCAUAGUUGGCUAAGGGAAAGUAACCUUAGGAAAGAAAGACUAAUGUGUAUAAUAUUGCUAAGGCGUGAGUACCUUUAGUAAAGCAUAAAGAAUAAAGAAUAAAGUGUAAAGCAUAAAGAAUGAAGAAUCAAGAAUAAGAAAAGGCUAAUGCUAAAGAAUGACAAGUAAUAAAGAAUAAAGAAGAGUUAAUGCUAAAGAAUAGCUAGUAAAGUAAAGAAUGAGUAAAAGUAAAGAAUGGAUAAGAAUAAAGUGUAGAAGAAAUUAAUCUACUAUAUGAGUUGCAUAAAUUGCAUAUUGCAUGUUGUGAGGCAAAAGCAUGGUAAUGUUAGUUGCAUGAUUUAUGAUUUUAUAUCUAUCUAUUGGACUAACAUGUUGUUUGCCUCCUUUGACCUGAUGGUCGAGCUCUUCCCUUGGGUGGCCGUACCCACUGGGAACUAUGGAGUUAGUUCUCACCCCACGUUGUUUCGGGGUUUUACAGGUCCACACGCGAGCGGCGCGGCGGCGCGAGGAAAGGGCGUAGCUCCGUAGUUAGCGCCCUACCACUGAGACCAGAUAGCAGCACCCUGAGUCGGCUUCUUAGGGGUAUUAAAUGCAAAGAACCAAAAAUGUGAUAAUUGUAAGAACAAUAUUGUAAUAAGUAUGUUAAGAACUAGAUUGUAUAAUUGGAAGUUGAGGAUCAAUGUAAAAGAAUGUAAUGUGGAAUGUAAAAUGUAGUAUGUGAGAUGAAUGCUUGUAAUAGCAAGUAGAUUUAUGUUUUUGAUACUUCCUUAUGCAAUCUUUGGUUGAAAUGUGU
RNAcentral lists this long non-coding RNA (3222 nucleotides) under Ananas comosus (pineapple). RNAcentral describes it as "long non-coding RNA (ACOM_LNC043935)". The record is from RNAcentral. Lineage: Eukaryota; Viridiplantae; Streptophyta; Magnoliopsida; Poales; Bromeliaceae.